UUCGUUCGUGGGGGUGGGGUUUAUACAAAACUGUUCGUGGGGUUUCUCUAAACUCUUUGCAUCUCAUCGCCUCUCACUCUCAUUUUUUUGUAUUUUCUCAGAUCUCAAACUAAAAUCAGUCAAAUGGAAGAUGAUGACAUUGUAAUUGCGGUUUUAUACAAUGGAACAUUGGUACAAAAUGAUAGUGGUGAUUGGGAAUAUCGAAAUGGUAAAAAUGUAAUGGUUUCCAUCGGCAAGAGAUGCACAAAAUCAGAGUUAGAGGACUGUGGCAUAUUUACACUCAAGACCAUCGAAUUCUUACAUGCUAGAUUACCAUUGACAUUCACACAAGAUAACAUGGAGUUCUUUAGGAAGAAGUAUGCAUAUGAGGUUUACAACAAAGAACUUAGCAUAUGAGCUGCGUGGUGAUGCUUUUUUCUUUCCUUUUUUCAUGUUUAUAGAUGCAUAUUAUUUAUUAUAUUUGACUUUUAAUUGUAAAUAUAAUGGUGGCUUAUAAUGUUCAUUUAACAAAGAUAACAAUGUGGUAUUGAUGUAAUGAUAAGUAAUUGACCUUAUAGGAAAUGUGCCAUGUUUAUUUA
Molecule: long non-coding RNA, 578 nt
Organism: Ziziphus jujuba (common jujube)
Lineage: Eukaryota; Viridiplantae; Streptophyta; Magnoliopsida; Rosales; Rhamnaceae
Exons: 2
Source: RefSeq, a predicted model, not a curated record